Molecule: non-coding RNA, 108 nt
Filed under: Chromera velia
Lineage: Eukaryota; Chromeraceae
Source: RNAcentral
CAAGGAAAGAAAGAAAGAAACAAAGAAAGAAAGAAACGAUCACUUAGAUGACCCGUGGGGUGGCCGACAGACGAACAUCUUGCGUGAUGCCAUGGUUUUCGUUUUUUC